Planktothrix agardhii NIVA-CYA 126/8 is the source of this 286-nucleotide small RNA. It matches the Rfam family "5' ureB small RNA". The record is from Rfam. Lineage: Bacteria; Bacillati; Cyanobacteriota; Cyanophyceae; Oscillatoriales; Microcoleaceae.
CGGUCUCUAUUUGUUGAGGACAAAUAAAGUGAAUAUGGCUAUCAAUUCCUCCGGCGGUGAGGAGCAUUCCUUCCCCGGCGAUCGCUUCAGUAGAAGGGCCGAUAAUAAUAUCAAUAUUAUCUUGAAUAUAGGGAUUUCCCGCUUUCCCAAUUUUAUAAAUUUUCCCAUCUUUUAUCCCCACAUCUGCUUUAACAAUCCCCCACCAAUCUACAAUUAAAGCAUUCGUAAUUACUAAAUCUACCGCCCCAUCUUCCCGGGAAAUUGGAGAUUGUCCCAUGCCAUCCCG